Non-coding RNA from Armatimonadetes bacterium 13_1_40CM_64_14, 72 nucleotides. Lineage: Bacteria; Bacillati; Armatimonadota. The record is from Rfam.
GCGGGAGUAGCUCAGUGGUAGAGCGUCUCCUUGCCAAGGAGAAGGUCGCGGGUUCAAGUCCCGUCUCCCGCU